UACGUAGGGGGCAAGCGUUGUCCGGAAUCAUUGGGCGUAAAGAGCGUGUAGGCGGCCCGGUAAGUCCGCUGUGAAAGUCCAGGGCUCAACCCUGGGAUGCCGGUGGAUACUGUCGGGCUCGAGUCCGGAAGAGGAGUGUGGAAUUCCUGGUGUAGCGGUGAAAUGCGCAGAUAUCAGGAGGAACACCAAUGGCGAAAGCGGCUCUCUGGGACGGUACUGACGCUGAGACGCGAAAGCGUGGGGAGCAAACAGG
This 253-nucleotide ribosomal RNA is filed under the name uncultured bacterium. Its description in RNAcentral is "partial 16S ribosomal RNA". It matches the Rfam family "Bacterial small subunit ribosomal RNA", at positions 524 to 776 of the family's 1533-position model. The record is from RNAcentral.